CAGUCGCCGCGGUAAUACGUAGGGUGCAAGCGUUAAUCGGAAUUACUGGGCGUAAAGGGUGCGUAGGCGGGUCUUUAAGUCAGGGGUGAAAUCCUGGAGCUCAACUCCAGAACUGCCUUUGAUACUGAAGAUCUUGAGUUCGGGAGAGGUGAGUGGAACUGCGAGUGUAGCGGUGAAAUGCGUAGAUAUUCGCAAGAACACCAGUGGCGAAGGCGGCUCACUGGCCCGAUACUGACGCUGAGGCACGAAAGCGUGGGGAGCAAACAGGAUUAGAUACCCCAGUAGUCCCUGUCUCUUAUAC
This 301-nucleotide ribosomal RNA is filed under the name uncultured bacterium. RNAcentral describes it as "partial 16S ribosomal RNA". It matches the Rfam family "Bacterial small subunit ribosomal RNA", at positions 509 to 807 of the family's 1533-position model. The record is from RNAcentral.